Molecule: transfer RNA, 81 nt
Filed under: Lachnellula occidentalis
Lineage: Eukaryota; Fungi; Ascomycota; Leotiomycetes; Helotiales; Lachnaceae
Rfam family: tRNA
About the family: Transfer RNA (tRNA) molecules are approximately 80 nucleotides in length.
Source: Rfam by way of RNAcentral
GCACUCUUGGUUUAGUGGUAAAAUCAGCGCUUCCCAUGCUUUAGUAUGCGCUGGCCCCGGGUUCGAUUCCCGGAGGGUGCA